Molecule: ribosomal RNA, 497 nt
Filed under: uncultured bacterium
Lineage: Bacteria
Description: partial 16S ribosomal RNA
Rfam family: Bacterial small subunit ribosomal RNA
Source: RNAcentral
GAUGAACGCUGGCGGCGUGCCUAAUACAUGCAAGUCGAGCGAACGGACGAGAAGCUUGCUUUUCUGAUGUUAGCGGCGGACGGGUGAGUAACACGUGGAUACCCUACCUAUAAGACUGGGAUAACUUCGGGAAACCGGAGCUAAUACCGGAUAAUAUUUUGAACCGCAUGGUUCAAAAGUGAAAGACGGUCUUGCUGUCACUUAUAGAUGGAUCCGCGCUGCAUUAGCUAGUUGGUAAGGUAACGGCUUACCAAGGCAACGAUGCAUAGCCGACCUGAGAGGGGGAUCGGCCACACUGGAACUGAGACACGGUCCAGACUCCUACGGGAGGCAGCAGUAGGGAAUCUUCCGCAAUGGGCGAAAGCCUGACGGAGCAACGCCGCGUGAGUGAUGAAGGUCUUCGGAUCGUAAAACUCUGUUAUUAGGGAAGAACAUAUGUGUAAGUAACUGUGCACAUCUUGACGGUACCUAAUCAGAAAGCCACGGCUAACUACGCG